RNAcentral lists this ribosomal RNA (1372 nucleotides) under uncultured bacterium. Its description in RNAcentral is "bacterial SSU rRNA". It matches the Rfam family "Bacterial small subunit ribosomal RNA", at positions 28 to 1381 of the family's 1533-position model. The record is from RNAcentral.
GAUGAACGCUGGCGGCGUGCCUAAUACAUGCAAGUCGAGCGAACGGACGAGAAGCUUGCUUCUCUGAUGUUAGCGGCGGACGGGUGAGUAACACGUGGAUAACCUACCUAUAAGACUGGGAUAACUUCGGGAAACCGGAGCUAAUACCGGAUAAUAUUUUGAACCGCAUGGUUCAAAAGUGAAAGACGGUCUUGCUGUCACUUAUAGAUGGAUCCGCGCUGCAUUAGCUAGUUGGUAAGGUAACGGCUUACCAAGGCAACGAUGCAUAGCCGACCUGAGAGGGUGAUCGGCCACACUGGAACUGAGACACGGUCCAGACUCCUACGGGAGGCAGCAGUAGGGAAUCUUCCGCAAUGGGCGAAAGCCUGACGGAGCAACGCCGCGUGAGUGAUGAAGGUCUUCGGAUCGUAAAACUCUGUUAUUAGGGAAGAACAUAUGUGUAAGUAACUGUGCACAUCUUGACGGUACCUAAUCAGAAAGCCACGGCUAACUACGUGCCAGCAGCCGCGGUAAUACGUAGGUGGCAAGCGUUAUCCGGAAUUAUUGGGCGUAAAGCGCGCGUAGGCGGUUUUUUAAGUCUGAUGUGAAAGCCCACGGCUCAACCGUGGAGGGUCAUUGGAAACUGGAAAACUUGAGUGCAGAAGAGGAAAGUGGAGUUCCAUGUGUAGCGGUGAAAUGCGCAGAGAUAUGGAGGAACACCAGUGGCGAAGGCGACUUUCUGGUCUGUAACUGACGCUGAUGUGCGAAAGCGUGGGGAUCAAACAGGAUUAGAUACCCUGGUAGUCCACGCCGUAAACGAUGAGUGCUAAGUGUUAGGGGGUUUCCGCCCCUUAGUGCUGCAGCUAACGCAUUAAGCACUCCGCCUGGGGAGUACGACCGCAAGGUUGAAGCUCAAAGGAAUUGACGGGGACCCGCACAAGCGGUGGAGCAUGUGGUUUAAUUCGAAGCAACGCGAAGAACCUUACCAAAUCUUGACAUCCUUUGACAACUCUAGAGAUAGAGCCUUCCCCUUCGGGGGACAAAGUGACAGGUGGUGCAUGGUUGUCGUCAGCUCGUGUCGUGAGAUGUUGGGUUAAGUCCCGCAACGAGCGCAACCCUUAAGCUUAGUUGCCAUCAUUAAGUUGGGCACUCUAAGUUGACUGCCGGUGACAAACCGGAGGAAGGUGGGGAUGACGUCAAAUCAUCAUGCCCCUUAUGAUUUGGGCUACACACGUGCUACAAUGGACAAUACAAAGGGCAGCGAAACCGCGAGGUCAAGCAAAUCCCAUAAAGUUGUUCUCAGUUCGGAUUGUAGUCUGCAACUCGACUACAUGAAGCUGGAAUCGCUAGUAAUCGUAGAUCAGCAUGCUACGGUGAAUACGUUCCCGGGUCU